Molecule: unclassified non-coding RNA, 427 nt
Filed under: Hevea brasiliensis (rubber tree)
Lineage: Eukaryota; Viridiplantae; Streptophyta; Magnoliopsida; Malpighiales; Euphorbiaceae
Source: RNAcentral
AAGAAAUGGAAUUGCACAGGAUGCUUUCAUCUGAGUGAUUAUUCCAAACUUUUGAGUGGUCCAUGCAGUAUCCAUUGGAGCUGUGACUGACUAGUUUGGUGCUUUGGAUAGCUCAAGUUUGUAUAUAUGCUUACUUUUUCUCCUGGUAGAGCAUAAGAACCAUAUUAAACAAUAAGAAGGUGCAUUUUACAUGAAGUACUAGCUAGGUUUGGGCCUUUGGUUGUUGAUUGUGCAUUUUUGGGUAUUUUGUUGUAGCAAAUGAGCCUCCACACUUAGAAAUCAUAUCAUAUAUGUUGUAUAUUGCAGAAGUAUGUUUGUACAUUGUACGUUUACAUGGUGAUCUUACAAAUCAGCCUUGAUGAUCUCCUGAUGUAAAAGUUUGUGAUUUAUGAUUACUUGACAGGCCUUUUACAAUUGGGCUAUAGCA